CGUAGGUGGCAAGCGUUGUCCGGAUUUACUGGGUGUAAAGCGCGUGCAGGCGGUUCGGUAAGUUGGGUGUGAAAGCUCCUGGCUCAACUGGGAGAGGUCGCUCAAAACUGGCGAACUGGAGAGUGGUAGGGGAAGGUGGAAUUCCGGGUGUAGUGGUGAAAUGCGUAGAUAUCCGGAGGAACACCAGUGGCGAAAGCGGCCUUCUGGACCAUUUCUGACGCUCAGACGCGAAAGCUAGGGUAGCAAACGGGGUUAGAGACCCCGGUAGUCCUAGCCGUAAACGGUGUGAACUUGGCGCUGGUGGGGUCAAACCGAUCAGUGCCGUAGCUAACGCGAUAAGUUCACCACCUGGGGACUACGGCCGCAAGGUUA
RNAcentral lists this ribosomal RNA (372 nucleotides) under uncultured organism. Its description in RNAcentral is "bacterial SSU rRNA". It matches the Rfam family "Bacterial small subunit ribosomal RNA", at positions 526 to 896 of the family's 1533-position model. The record is from RNAcentral.